GCCCCGCGGAGGCCGAGGACGGUG
Molecule: non-coding RNA, 24 nt
Filed under: Cricetulus griseus (Chinese hamster)
Lineage: Eukaryota; Metazoa; Chordata; Mammalia; Rodentia; Cricetidae
Source: RNAcentral